RNAcentral lists this transfer RNA (82 nucleotides) under Saccharothrix coeruleofusca. RNAcentral describes it as "tRNA-Ala". Lineage: Bacteria; Bacillati; Actinomycetota; Actinomycetes; Pseudonocardiales; Pseudonocardiaceae. The record is from RNAcentral.
CGUCGCCGUGGCGCGCGCGGUCACCCGGCCGCUGGCGGCGACCGGGCUGAGCGGGGUGUUCAACGUUCACCCGACGGUGGCC